GUAUUGCUGUAGUACCUGUGAACAGUACCAGCAUUAGAAAGUUUAAUGUUUCUACUUUCUGUCCUCAAAAUAAGCUACAAGAUAUUUGACUAAUAUGCUUUCAAGGGGAAGAGAGAUGGGGACUCUCAUACCAGUGGGGGAAAAGCUUACCAAGAGAUGAGAAAAUGGUUGCAUUAUCUCUGAAAAAAAGAAAAUAUGUCUUGUAACAAUGCAAGGUUCUCCAGGAAAAUCAACAGUUACAAAAUAAUGUAUUUACACUUCCCUGCUCCUUCUGGACAGAUAUCUUACAUUUUGAAUGACUUUCAUUAAAACUGAUGGAAAAGUGAUUUUUUUUUUUUAAUCUAGAGGCAGUUUUCAAAGUCCUUUAUUUUCUGAUGAUUUCACAUUACUCAGCCAUGGGAAAUAUUUCCAUGAGGUGGAUGGAGAGAAAGAAAGGAGGCAGUUCCUAAUUUUUAUUUCUGUGAUUUUUGUUGUUGUUGUUGCAGUGGGUCACAUGAGCAGGCCACCCAUUUGUUUCCAUUAAAAGAAUUUACCAAACUUUUGACGUUAACUGAAUUCACAAUACCUUCUGCUCUAUUGUAGUUGCUUCUGUAGCAAUGGAAGAUGAUACAACAAAUAAUUUAUUAUUUCAAAUGAGUCGUGGAAUCAUAGGCUUGUGUUGGAAGGGACCUUAAAGAUCAUCUGGUUCCUACUCCCAACUGAAUGAAGGAAGGAAGCAAAUAAGCAGCUAGAAUUGGCUUUAUUUCUUCAUAAUUUAUUAUUUUCUACUGAUCCAGAAAAGCAUUAAGGGGAGCACGACCCAGGUGUUAAACAGAGGACAGAAUCAGCAAUGUGUACCAGAGAUGAACUGAUAACCAGGUUCUUCACUGUCUGCUCAGAUGUGAUUCCUUCUACACCAUUUUUCCUCCCUUUCCUAGUUUGAGCAUGCUCCCUGGUCACGACAGAGCUUGGGGGAAAAAAAAAGAAUGAAAUCCCAAGAUUGGUUUAGAAAUCCGUAAGCCGUAAGGGAAAGGUUCAUUACAGUGUGGUGCCAGCUGCUCUGUCCCUCCUCGCAGCACUGAGGCAGUUGCAGGGCUGGGAUCGUGGCCCUUGGCUUUGUCUUGUAAUCCUUGCAAUCCCAUCAUGUGUCAAUGCUCUCAUCAUCUGAGUGAAGGUAAUUAGAACUGACGGGGUGAGAAAAGUUCCAUCUCUGUGGAAAAACUGCAGCACUCAAAAUUUGGUUUUCUUUGUUCCCCACUGGAACAAAAGAAACACUUAAAACUGCUCCUAGGGGAAAAUCCUGAAUUAGCCUAAUCUGUGUUUGAAAACCCUUAAUGAGUUUAAACCAGGUCUUGAAUCUGGGUUUUCUUCACUAAAGAAGGUCCUGAUACUCUGUUGGUUUGGGUAACAGAGGGUGGUCUUGCUGCAGCUUAAAGAAUGAUGAUUUCUGGAUUUUGUCACUGUGAAUAUACUCCUUUAUACAGAAAGAAAUUUUAAAUGUUUUUUAUCAAGAGAUGUUUGACCUCUCUCAAGUCAUUGCUUGAGACAGUUUCAAUUAAUAAAGAACAAAAUGCAUGCCAAA
Molecule: long non-coding RNA, 1561 nt
Organism: Passer domesticus (house sparrow)
Lineage: Eukaryota; Metazoa; Chordata; Aves; Passeriformes; Passeridae
Exons: 3
Source: RefSeq, a predicted model, not a curated record